UGUCUUCUAGCGUUAAAGCUCAAAUGCCUUCUGGGUUUUACCAACCAAUGUCUUCUCAUAAGAGAUUUUCCUGUUUUCUUGUUUUUAAAUGUUUUUUACCGUUUAAUGUCUCCUUCCCAUUUUUUGGACGGACCAACAUAGUUUCUGGGCUCUCUUCAUUUUCUCUAGAAAUAUUUAUGGGUUUCUCUUGUUCUCUAGCAAUAUUUGUGGGUUUAUCUCGUUCUCUAAAAAAAAAUAUUCUUGGGUUUACAGUGUUCAGAAAGGGAUACUGUUUUGCAGAACAAGCUAUUGUGUUUGCUUUGUGGGGAAAAAUGGACAAGCUUCUUGUGUUUCUGAGGCUUAAAGCAGAGUGGCAUCGUUUGGUGGCUGUGAAAAGUUGGGUGCUUUGAAUGUGAUAGAAGGACAAAGUAAUUUGAGAUAUUCUACUUUUCAAUAUCUAAUUUUCCAGCCAUGUAUGCGGAACUUACCACUCCUCGCAUUGCAGCAUGGAACGAUUUUUUGGUCAAGCAACGCAUCAAGUUGGAGUUAGAAAUGCUUGGAGGAUUUGGCAAAGUUGAGGUAUAAUUAGCUUUUA
Vitis vinifera (wine grape) is the source of this 574-nucleotide long non-coding RNA. RefSeq lists it as uncharacterized. Lineage: Eukaryota; Viridiplantae; Streptophyta; Magnoliopsida; Vitales; Vitaceae. The record is from RefSeq and is a predicted model, not a curated record. The transcript has 3 exons.